Molecule: transfer RNA, 68 nt
Filed under: Marmota monax (woodchuck)
Lineage: Eukaryota; Metazoa; Chordata; Mammalia; Rodentia; Sciuridae
Description: tRNA.Ala
Source: RNAcentral
GUUGUGGCUCAGAGGCAGAGCACUUGCCUAGCAUGUGUGAGGCCCUGGGUUCAAUCCUCAGCACCACA